Molecule: ribosomal RNA, 292 nt
Filed under: uncultured Bacteroidota bacterium
Lineage: Bacteria; Pseudomonadati; Bacteroidota
Description: uncultured Bacteroidetes bacterium partial 16S ribosomal RNA
Source: RNAcentral
GGACUACUGGGGUAUCUAAUCCUGUUUGAUCCCCGCACUUUCGAGCCUCAGCGUCAGUUACAGCUUCGUUAGCUGCCUUCGCAAUCGGUGUUCUAUGACAUAUCUAAGUAUUUCACCACUACAUGUCAUAUUCCGCCAACGGCAACUGUACUCUAGAUCAGCAGUAUCAAUGGCAGUUUCUGGGUUAAGCCCAAAGAUUUCACCACUGACUUACCAAUCCGCCUACGCUCCCUUUAAACCCAAUGAAUCCGGAUAACGCUUGCAUCCUUCGUCUUACCGCGGCUGCUGGCAC